UAAAAAAAAAAUUGAAUUCCUUCAAUCCAAAGCAAAAAUUACUCAACAUAUUAAAACCUUAUAAGUCAUUUGAGGAUUAUUUUUUUCAAGUUUUGCCGGGUCUACUUACUUUAUUAUUAUAAAAAUAAAAUAAGUUUAUCUUUUAAUUUAUAUAAGGUUGCAGUUAUGUUGGAGCAUCUUCGAUGUGGCGUAGCCACAUCAACCGUUGGAUGUAUGUGAAAAUUUUGAAAUAAUUAUAACAACAUACACCUAACCGUUGUAUGCAUGCUCCAGCAUAACCGGACCCAUUAUAAUUACCGAUAUAUUAAAAUUUAAAAAAUAGAGUGCCCACUAAAAUGGGCAACAUUACUCAUAAAUGACAUAAAUCUAAGCACAAAAGUAAUCAAUUGGUUUACUUUAAAAAUAAAGAUUGAUAAUUGAUAGUUAUCAAUUUCGCCGGGGCAUUUCCCUAUCUAAAUUUAUUAUUUUAUUUAGAGAAAUUAUCAUUCAUAUAUCCUAUAUUUACUCUGUUAUAAAAAAUACUACAAUACUUUGAGGGUGUAUCAAUCAUCCACCUUUAGUUGACAAAAUAUAUCAGCCGACCACCAAACCGUUAGUUGCCGUUUGAAAGUUAACGGAGUUACAGUGAAUUGAUGAUUUUACCCUUAAAAAUUAUCACUUGUAUACCCUUAAAUUCUCUUUUUAUCACUUGUAUAUCCUUAAAUUAUCACUUGUAUCAUAUGAAAAGAUUAAAUUACCUUUCUGACGUCAUCAUACUUAAACGGUAACUAACGGUUUGGUGGUCAGCUGAUACAUUUUGUCAACUUAGGAUGGACGAUUGAUACACUCUCAAAAUAUUGUAGUAUUUUUUAUAAUGGAAUAUAUUAAGAAUAUACAAAUGAUAAUUUCUCUUUUAUUUACGUGGGAAAAAGAAAUUGAUUGAUUAGACGUGAUUUAACGUGAUGUACACUCGGAUUUGUAAACCACAAAGACCUAGUAAUGCGGUAAUUUGCGGACUCCGGUUAAAAAUAAUUCCGUUAUUAGCUGCGAUUGGGUAUUGACCGCUCGUGUUUCUCUGGCACGUUCGCUACACGCGGCGGCGACCAUACAAGCACACCAAUAACCUCUUUCAUUGCUUUUCGUCCAUCCUAAUUGUUCCCAUUUGGUUAUCAUCAAACACAUUACGGUUGAUUUGCAACAAUUACCAAACCAUCUCCAAAGUUACUAUUUGUCCCAAAUUUAUCACUCCUUUGGUCCAUUUAAAAAUUAUAUGCGGGCGGAAUUACUUUGUCACAUUGAAAAAUAUAACCUAUUGUUAAGUUGGGGCAUAAAAUUAAAAUUGAAGUUUAAAUAUAUACGGUAUUCAAAGUUUAAAAUUCAGAAUUUAAAUACGUGAGUACGAGUAUAUAAGUGAUUCUCUGUUGGCGGCAACUUAUAAUAAACUUUUUUCUCAUUCCUUUUUUUUUUUUUUCCAAUUAAUGAAGGUGAGAGCUCUUCUAACAAGUUAUGAUUACCUUGCAGGUAGGCAAUUGACUCUGCGAGAUUUUAUUUUAUUUUUUAUUUAAUUAAUGUGUUCAGUGUUUGUUUUCUCACAUCACAUUAUUACUUUACAAAUUUGUCCUGAUUAAUUAUUUUCUUUCCUAAAAGGCACAUACUAAAAAACCUCAACUCUUGUAUUGAUUUUACAUAGUUGUCCCAAUUUUUUUUUUCUUUCAAUAACAUCAACUAAUAUAAUUGAUUUUUUUUUAAAUUUCAUUGUUAUAUUACCUCCUAUGAGUCAACUGACGAUCUUUUUAUCGACUUAAAUAAUGACUCAGGCAUCAAAGGUUUCAAGCAUACCUUUUGCCCGCUAGAGUGGGGGUGCUACGGAUGUAAGAGUAAAAGUCUAUAAAUCUGCUAAUUUUGGUGAAAGAAUCCUUAUGGUAUAUUGUAUAGCACCAUAGUAGGACUAAGUUGAGAUAAAUGGUAAAUAAAUAGACUAAUUUAUUGUUUUACAAAUCUAUAAGGACCCUUGUGAGAAUAACUCGCGUUCCCAUCAUUUUUAAUACAACCCACAAACUCUUCCCCCUUUCACACUACACUCAACUCAAACUCUCCUCUCUCUCUCUCUCUCUCUCUCUCUCUCUCUCUCUCUCAUGCAACUCCAAAACUAAAAACACUCACUAGACCACCACAAUGGGCAAAGCCACGAAGUGGUUUCGCAGCAUUCUCGGGCUAAAAAAGCCCGACCCGACACACUCCCCAUCUCAGCCAAAUACCAAGGAGAAACGCCGGUGGAGCUUCGUCAAGUCUUACAGAGAAAAAGACUCCUCCCGAGAAGCUACUGUUAAGCACAGCUCGUUGAAGUUGAACGAACGAGAGACUAGAGCUGAUGAUACUCCGUCCUCGGAAUGCGAGGACGCCAACAAGCACGCGAUCGCCGUGGCCGCGGCCACCGCUGCGGUUGCCGAGGCCGCGGUCGCUGCAGCCCACGCUGCAGCGGCCGUUGUCAGGCUUACGAGCAACAGCGGUAGGUGCGGUGACUUCCCCUCUGCUUACGUCGGUGGUUGCGGUGGGACCCUCGAUGAGCCGGCAGCGAUUAAGAUACAGUCGGCUUUUCGUGGUUACUUGGUACGUAUUUUAUUUUAUUAUUAUUACUUUAUUUUUGUUAAAAGAAAAAAGCUAUGGUCGCCAUGGAUUUUGAUGUUAAAAGAAAACAGCUACGGGUUCAGAGUUGGAUUUUGCAUCAGACAUGGCUGCUUAGUUGACACGUGUCAUCUUACAGCUUUUUAUUCUUCUUCUUCUUCAACCGCGAAGAGAAGACGACGAUAUAAUUAAAAGUUUUAACGUCGUUUUCCGAAGUCCUGGCUCUCUUUAUACGAAUCAGGCAAAACACGUCCUUCUCAAAUUCAUUUCUCUGCAUGGUAAAAUUAUUCCCUUCGUUUCCUUUCUUCUAAAUACCUUUUGGCAAGUGGCAACCAGAGCAGACUGCCCAUGCUUAAUCCAGCAUUUACUCUCUCCUCUUAUAGGAUUCAAUUUUCUACUGACUUGUCGCUGCCAUGCAUCUGGGUGCGCAAUGCGCACUACCCCGAAAACUGUGUGCUUCCCUUUUAUUUCCGUCGUUGUGGCGGUUUCAUAAUUCAUACGGCUUGAUGAUGGUGAUGAUGUCUUGUAUUGAAUCACCUGCUUCAUAGUAACGGGUUCUUAAAGAGGGGCUACAGUUUGCAUACAUAAUAAAUGUAGAAUUAAGUAUUGACCGCCAGCUGGUUCCCUGUUAAGUUCUGUUACAUGAUACACUUGAAAAUAUUUAAUUGGACUAGUUCAUUUGGUUUGAACCAACUGGAUAGUGAAGCAUAUUAUUAACCUAUGGAUCAUGGAGUAUAAUUUAGUCAAACAAUGAAGAGAGAAGUAUAACACCGCCUUUAUGUAUUAAAACAAUUUGAUUGUUCAUCUUGGGAGUCUGUGCAUGAAGUUUUUGAGGAAUUUGAAGACCGGAGUCCAACGCUCCAACUUUGACAUCUUUUGGGCUUUUGGAGCAGUUGGUGGGUCCAAACCAGUGGAAAGUUUGUUGUGUGUAUGUGUUUCCUUAAGUGCAUUUGCAUGACUUUUUAGCUACAAAGUUUGGGUUGGUUGAGGCACUUCAAUGUUGGAUUAAUUUAACAAAAUAGUCAGACUCUCGUAUGAACAUAACCCUUUUCUUCUAAUUGGGCGGCCAGUUAGAUGUCGUUGUCAAUUUGAUGUUAAUUGUCAGAUUUUCUUUUCUGAGAGGGCUAGAUUGAAGAAAAAGAUAUGUACUACUCAUAGAGCCCGUUUCCUUUAAAUUUUUCGUUCAUGUUAGUUUAGGCGCCUUGUUCUAAAAGGUAUCCUGCAAUCUAUGGUUUUUUUAAUGAUGAAACAGUGUGGUCCUCUUCUGUAUGCCUUGACUCUUGAAUGAUAGGUCGCUAUAAUGUUCUUGUGAUCUUAAUCAGAUGGUGGUCCAUUGCAGCUUUGCCUUUAUUGAAUUUGUUAAUGUGAUAAGCAAUUCAUUAUUAUUCCAUUUGCUUAGUUGCAUUGUGAUUAUGAGUUUGGUUAGUAACCCUAUCUCCCAUGGACAUUUUGAAGGCAAGGAGGGCUUUGCGAGCAUUGAGAGGUUUGGUUAGGCUUCAGGCACUUGUAAGAGGUCAUAUUGAGCGGAAAAGAACAGCAGAGUGGCUUCAGCGAAUGCAAGCAUUGCUGAGAGCCCAGGCACGUGCUCGUGCAGGACGGGCUCAAAUAUCUGAAUCUUCCCAUUCAAGUGGCAAAUCUUCACAUUUCCAGCAGCCGGUAAGCAAAAUUCAUUUUCCCCCCAAUAUUUGAAUUUUUCUGUAAUUUCUUUGUGGGCAAGUGAUGCACACUUUAUGACUGUGGGGCACCAGGCAACUUUUCUUUUUGUUCUCUAGACAACUUUUCAGUGCAUCUUUUAAGUUUAUGAAUUUUAGUGAAGCUAAUGACACUUGGAACUUACAAAAAGUAGCUGCAAUAUAUCAAGCAAGCUUUUUUAUGCAAUUAAUUGUAACUUCAAAAGUAGUUGUAUGCAUUAAGGCCAACUGGUUGCAUACUAUACCUUAAUGUUUUUUGGUUAAAGCGGCAAAGAUUUGUUAAGAUCCUUAAGAGUUGUUAAGAUCCUAAAGAAACUUUCGUACACUACCAAUCACUAGGAAAAUCUAGAAACCCUGUCAUGAUGCAGAUCUAAUUUUUCCAGUAAUUUUUCUGCACUGUGGGCAAAUUUAUGGCUUUAUUUGCUUAGGAGCAUUCCCAGUUACAGUUUUAUAGUUUCAUUCAUUUUGCAUUAAUUAUGUAAAUUUAUUGAGUUUCACAUCAUGUGCAGGGACCACCAACCCCUGAAAAAUUUGAACAUUCCAUCCGAUCAAAGAAUUCAAAAUGUGAAGUAUCAUCAGCGCUUAAGGUGCAUUCUCUUUCUUUGCCCUUCACUCUUUUCUUUAAUCCAAUUUGAAUGUCAUUUCAGAACUAAUAAGCACAUUAAUGAAUGCAGAAAAAUGGAUCAAAAUCAAAUGGCAGGGUCAAUGUUCAUCAUGAAAAAGCCCAUGUAAGUUGGAAUUGGCCAGAAAGUCAGAUGGAUAAUCGAUCCAAGAACCAAAAGGCAGCACCAACAAAGAUUGGUGCUAUAGAUGAUGAGAGGAGUGACAAAAUCCUUGAAAUUGAUACUGGGAAAAUGCACUUUACACCCAAACGCAGAAACCUAUUUCACUCUUCCCAUCUUACAGUGUCAUCAGAUCAUUAUAGUCAUAGCUUCACUUCUUCGAAAGACUCAACCGCCCACCAAAUUGAACCAAGUCCAUCUUCAUGUGAAGUUCAAUCUUUAAGCCCCUUGAAAUUCUCUCAUGAGGUUGAGGAUUUCUGCACUGCAGAAAAUAGCCCACAAUUCUAUUCUGCUUCAUCAAGAGGUGGUAGUUCAAAGAGAAGCCCCUUCACUCCCACGAAGAGUUACAGUUCACAAAGCUGUCUAAGCGGUUACUCAGACCAUCCAAACUACAUGGCCUACACAGAAUCAUCAAGAGCCAAGGUGAGGUCUCUCAGUGCUCCGAAACAAAGGCCACAGUACGAAAGAUCCAGUUCAGCAAAACGGUAUUCCAUUCACACAUUUGCCGAAUCAAAAUCAAGUGCCCAGAGGUUUACUGCUUUGCAUGCGAACUUUACAAACAAAGCAUAUCCAGGAUCCGGUCGUCUUGACAGCUUCGGAAUGCCUGUUGGGCAGAGAUUCUAAAUACAUCCUCCUCCUUGUAGCGUUUAAGCUGUAUUAACUUUUGUAGUUAGCUUGCUUGUGUUGUCCGCUGUCCAAGAGACAUCGAGUUUCCUCCGUUCAGGAUUUUAAUUAUGGAUCUGAAUCUCACACUUCACUGUGACCGUCUAAUAUCUAAUGAAUGUAACUUUUGCCGCCUUUGGACCCUACCAUUCAUUAUAUUACUGCAUGUUCUUGCAAAUUAUGUAUGCUAGUGCUUUGAUUCAAAACAGUCUUAAAAUUUUUAUUAAGAGUCUGGAAGGUUCAUAUUGUCCGGGAAAGCGUACAAAGUACAAUUUGGUAACGAUGAUGUCGGUUGUGGGGAUAGAUGAAUAACUGAAAUUGAAGCGAAUGCCAUUGCCAGCCUGGUUGAGCCGCGGUCGGUCACGUGUGGCUGUAUUUUCUAAAGAUUCAAGCAUUUACAUUUUGAAUGAAAUGGAGAGAGAUUAGUUCAUCAUUUCAUUAUCAAGCGAUGGAGCCCGUGUCCUGCCACUAGCUUUGAAUUUUGGUUGCUGUCAGGUGAUGUGAUGGCCCUCAGAUUUCAAUCUCAACCAACGUAUCCGGUCAACUGGAAAAUGUGCUGUUGUCUAGCCGGCCAGGCUGGGCAACUCCCCGCUAUAAAUGGUAAUAACAACAAUUUAUUGGAAAACGUUUUCCACAGUUAGUUACGUACCAAAAGCAGAUUUUACUAAUUGAACUUGAGGAAAUUGUAUCCAAUGAAAAGAAUUUGGAUAGGCUACCUAGAGUCCACAUGCAAAGGUCAACGUUGGAUGGUAGGAUAUUAAAAAUAGAUUAGAAUUUUCCUAUGAUUUGAGUUUUUAAAGUUAUUUUAUCAUGCCUUACAUAGAAAUAGGUGUAUAAAUAAUACAUAAAAUGCCAGUGUUUUGAUUAGAUUCUUAAAAUAGGAAAAUAAAAUGCCAGUAAGGUGUCGUGGUGUAGUUGGUUAUCACGUUAGUCUAACACACUGAAGGUCUCCGGUUCGAGUCCGGGCGACGCCAGAAGUUUCAAUUUUCCGUUUUUCACAUUACGUCAUUAUUUGACGAACUUGAAAUUGACCGAACAAUUUUAAUUUUUAAAAUUUUAAUUAAAAAAAGAUUUAUUAAAAUAGAAGAAAAAUCGAUAAGGGUCCGGCUACGGUGCAACGUUAUCACCGUUGCAUCCAGCCGUUAGAUCCACUUGGAUGAAUGAAUCCAAUGGGAUCCAAUGGCUGAGUGCAACGGUGGUACCGUAUUACCGUUGCACCAUAAUUUUCUCCGAUAAUUUGACGGGUUCUUUAAAACAAGUAACAGAUGCAGUAUGGAUUCUUGAUACUUGGAAAAGAAUAUAAUGCUGAACCUAAAAAUAAAUGUGCAAUACAUCAUCUUUGUAGAAUUUCUAAAUGGUAUACGUAACAUACAAUGGGAUGAUAUUCCCAUAUGAUAUAAAUUUAUAAACCCGAUAUAAUCAAAUUUUCCAUGAUCCAAGUCUACGCAUUUACACAAGUGAGAAAAGUAAAAAGUAAUAAACAAAUGAUUAUAAUUCAAACAAAAAAAAAAAAGGCAAUAUGGCAAGGUUAAUACAAAGCACUACUUAGUAAAAUCAGUUCCCGCAUUUCCAUUUCGAGGUAGGUACACAGCUUAGGUAAUGGCACCAGCUGCAGUGAUCAUUUCCAUUCUCUCCUCUGAAGAGCAUCACCAAUCCCACCGUAAAUCUGCAAUGUUCAAUAUGAAAAUUGUGCCGUCAGAUUUUGUCAAAUGCUGAAUGUUUGUGUUCAUUUACACCUUAAAACUAACAUCAAAACUCGUUUAUAUGAAACCAAUGUAAUGUAUGGAAGAUGCUACAAAUGUCACCGGAAAAGAGACGGAGGAAAUUCUUUCAGUCCUCUGUGAUGCUCUCCGAUCAUAAAUUAGGAUCUGAGAUAUUGGACUUACCCAACGAUAAGCAAAACGAGGGCCACGAUACAGAGCACAUAUUGGUAAGGAUUAUGCCUAGAUUUCACACGGGCUUGAGCAGGAAGUUGGUGGCGCUCUGCCCACCCAAAUUGAGGACGAAGUAGCAAAACAAACCCUAGGAGGAAACCAGCCAUGAAACCUCCGAUGUGUGCAAAAUUGUCAACAUGAGGAAGAAUUCCAACAGCCAAGUUAAUGGCAAUAAUGACCACAAGAGUCAAUAGAGCUGCAGCCUGCAAGAUAAGGAAAGCAACAAAAUUGUCAUAAGAAACCUACCACUUUUAUUUUCAUUUCUAAUCCAGAGUCCACAGCUCUUUUAUUUUCAUUUUUCCAGUUUGGCACAUUAGCUUCAAAAUUCAAAUUCCUUUACCCUGAAUAUUUUGCAAGUAACUAAAAUUCGUGGUCUCAGGUUUCUAGGACAAGUAGCUCUAGACUCAAGAAAUAACAAUUGAGUGCCAGUAUUUGAAGUAAAAGCCAAAAAGAAAUAACAAUUGAGCGCCAGUAUUUGAAUUAAAAGCCAAAAAAAAAAAUAUUGCUGUUUCUUCAUUACAGGAAAAAAAAAAAUUAAUAUGUGCAUUUUCCACAAAUAAAAGAAGGGUAGCAGCAACCUUGUUAGUAUAAAUUGACCAGUUAGCUAGAAGCUCAGAUAACAUAGCUCCCAGAAGUCCAAAUAAAGCACCAGAAGCACCAACAGAGAUACUGCGUUGAAUAAAAAGAGCAGAUAAUAUGCUCCCGCCAAAUCCUGACAACAAGUAGACAAAGCCAACGCGCACUGCCCAUGUUACAAAAGAUGUUAGAAUUCAGCAACAAUACAUAGCAACUACAUAAAACAAUAUAAGCAUUGACAAGAAAAUUCUAGAAUCAGGAGAAACUGACAUAAUUUUCGGCCAUGGUAUUAAAUACUUCCACUUUGUUAAUGUCUAGUGCUGAGUGCAAAAGAAAUAUUCAUUUAUGAGAUAGUAGUUCCAGUGAAUGUCACAGAUUUACUGUUUAAUAUCAUGAGUCAGGAAAUGCAAUUCUAAUGCAACAACCAAGUGCAUACAGAUCAAUGCCACUAACUUUUCCUGAUGACAUGUUACUGCCCCUUUCAGAAGAGUAGAGACCUAAGCACCAAAGUCAAGCAAUAUGUCUUUAACAAAUAAGGGGAAAGAUAAUUCAACAAGAAAUACCAAACUAUUUUGUAAGUAAGGCUAAAGUUCAUAUUUAACGACAUGAAAGUUUGUGACAUACCAAAUCCAAAUUGCUGUUCAAGGCGAAUCCCAAUAAAGACCAAGCUUAACAUAUUUGCAAGUAAAUGAAUGACACCAGCAUGUAACCAGAUACAGGUGAUGAGUCUCCAUCCUUGGUGUUCAUGCACAACCCUGUCCCACUCCAGAGCUCCCAACUUCUGCAAUCUGCACAAGCAAGUGGAAAUAAAUUAAAAUCAACCAGAAUCACAGUUCUAAAGGAGGGUUUUCCUCAAAACAAAUAAAGUUUUCACUUCCAAGCCCUCAAUUCCAAUUGACAGAAUAUAGAAUCAGAAUGACCAAAUUGAAAGAACUAGGUUCACAGUCUUCCGCCACGCACUUCCAGCAUAAAGAAGCAGCAUGAUUAUAACUUAUUUGUAAUGGCUAAAAAGCAAUCCUACAGUUUACUAAGUAAGUCUCAGACAACAGAAAAACGAAAAUAAUUGACCAACAAUUUGCCCCAAAAACAAUUAGUUGUUGAUUUUCAAAUACAUGAGGUAACGGAAAGAGUAAAAAAAAAUCCCCAAAUUCAAUAUUUGUUAAAGCUCCAGGUAUGUUCUCAAGAUUAUUGGCACAAACUUAUCACAGUCGAUGGAGGUAUUCAUAAAGCAAAUCAGUACAUAUUUCCCAACUUGCAUCGGAUGCAGACUUUUAGGCCAGCAACAGGUAGACCUACUUCCCCCCUCUAGUGGCUAUUACUUGCAAGCCUACAUUCCCCUAUAACCUACCUUAAUCCCAACUCAAUUUUCUUAAACAAAAAUAAGCAAUAGACUCACAAACUAAGAUGGAGAAGAAUCAACGAACACACUUAAGCUACCUUUAUACGCUCAUCUGGAUCUACUCAGAUAACAGAAUGCCCCGUCCACAACAUCAGUAAACAAGAAACAAAUUUCCUAAUCCUACCAAGUCUAGUCCCAAAUUUUGUAUUUUAACGACAAAUUAAGCCAUGAAACUCACUUCAACUAAUCAAAAUCCACAAAAAAUUAGACACAGUUAGAUUGGGGGAAUUAUAAAUAAACAUUCAAUAACAUACAACACAAAUUUCAUGGAACAAAACAACUAUCCCAAUCAAAUUGCAUUAGUCAGAUUUCUACUCUCACCUUCCGAAUUAAAAAACCCCACCACUGAGAGAAACCGAAAUCACUAAACGGCAGGUAAAAGGGAAAUACAUAAAAAGCAAUCCAUGCAACAACACAUAAAAAGUAGAAAGAAAAUGAGACUCACGUAGAAGAAGAAGGGCCGAAGAGAGGAUUCUCUUUUAGAGGCUCAAAGGAAAGCCUGCCAAGGAACCUAGCAACACAACCCCUGCCACCUUCCCAGUUAUUCUUGGGACAGUUGUUAAUAUACAUGGCCACGAUGAAAACAGCAACGUUGGCCACGACAAACAUUGGGAUCAGCCAAGAAGUCCAUUGCUGAUCACUCGCUGGCUCUACAUAAUACGAGCCUGAACUGUAACUGCUUCUAUUGUUGUUAUUGUUACUAAUAUUCUUUCCUCGUUCCAGAUCCCCGCUCGCCAUCAAUUGAAUUCUCUUCUAUUCGAGACAAUAUCAGUUUGUUAUACAAUGAGCGCUAGCUUUGUUGGGUAUUUGUCGUUCGUUUUAUUUAUAUGUCAAGGAAACAAAAAAGAAAAAAGAAAAGAAAAGAAAAGAUCGAACAAGAAGUGUCUUGUAAGGGAGAAUUUCUUCGUGUUUUUGAGUUUGCUGUUUAGGUUGUCACAGAGAGAGAGAGAGAGAGUGAGAGACAGGAACUCCAGGAAUCAGGAUAGAGAUCGAUUGAUCAUAUAACCGUUGAAAUGAAACAGUUGUUUGCAAGAGUUACUGCUGCUUCGUCAAUUCUAAUUAAUUUUAUAAUUAAAGGCUUUUGCUUUUCCCUGCUGCUGGAAAGGGCUUAUAAAGUUACCUAUGAUUUCUUAUGACUAUAACGAUGAGCGCAAUAAUAAACUAAAAAUAAAUAAAUAAAAUAAACAAUAAUUAUCCACCCACCACCAUCUAUUUUUACUCAAUUUCACCUUAAAUUAUAUUUUUUUUCCACGGAUCCACUUCCACUCCCAUCUAUCUACAUGCUGUUAUAACCAUGCUGACAUCAUCAAGGUAAAAUUGUCAUUUUUCCAGCACAAUAAGGGUUACAUUUUCUUCCACUUGGGUUCAUAAAAAUCUUAGAAAUUAAAGAAGACAUUGAAGGAUGUUAAGUCGAAACAUGUGAAUAAAUUAAAAGGAAUUAAUUUUAUCGAUGAAAAUUAAAACUACAUUAUUAAAUCUGAUUUUUUUGGCAUUUAUUUUGGAUAAAAUUGUAAUUUUACAUUUGAGGAUAAAAAAAUUAUUUAUUUAAUUUUCCACUAGUUAUCUUAACUGUGUGCAGACGAAAGUGAACCAAAGUAAAAAAAUGUAAUUUAAGGUAGAAUUGAGCAAAAUAUAUAUAUAUAUAUACACUUGUGUAUUUUUAAAAAAGAAUGAAAAAUAAAAGAUUGUCAAAUUACCAUCAUCAUGACAACCAUGGCGGUUGUUUUAUAUUUCACAAAUCUACCAAACUCUUGAAUAGCACGGCUUUAAUUAAUAUAUGAACACAAAAUCGUUAGAAAACUCUUGUUAAUAGAUUGAGUUCCAUUUCAGUAUAAAAAAUAAUAAUUAAAUAAAAUGGUGAUUUAUAUCCAACUAUUAGAUAAUUCUCAUACUUAUUAAAACAUGUAGAUUUGUUUAAAUAUUAAUUAAAAAAAAGUAAUAUAUAAAUUUAACCAGAAAAAAAAACAAAAUAUAUGUUUAAGAUUAAGAGGUUUUUGAUACCACUGUUUUAAAUAAUAGUUUUUAUUAGUAGCGCUCUUAACUAAUAUGACUUGAUGUGGACUUGUAAUUAAUCUUUGUGUCAACUACUAAUCUUGUUUCCUUGGUUUGCCAAGUGUUGAACAUUUAGAGGAAUGUUGUGAUCAUUAGUCUCAAUCAAACACAGCUUAGCUACUCGGCAACGAUGGAAAGGAAAAAUUGUGAAUGAACAGGACAAGGCCCCCAGUCCACACGGUUUCAAAGAAAGCAAAUAAAAAAUGGAGACAUAUGUAAGAGACAAAAUGAUUGCCACACUGAAGAAGAAGAAGAAGAAGAAGAAGAAGAAGAAGAAGAGCAAACUUUUGCUAUGGCUUCUCCCCGUUUAUUAAUUAUCAUGUCGUGUGCUUACUCUCUAAAACGUUGACUGUAACUUUUUAAUUUUCUCUUCAACUCAGUUUGGAUUUAGCUGAGUUAGUAAAUAGAUCACGGCUUGCGACUGACGACGACAAGGAUCCAAAACAAUUUUUUUUUUUUUUUUUUCAAGUAGUAUUAAAAGUAGACGUCACGUUUCUCUAAUUCGAUUUCAUUUUGUGCACGAUAAUCCACCGUCCAAUUACAGCAAUUCUAAUCAACUGCACUACAAAAAAAAGUACAGAAGUGUUUUUCAAAAAAAAAAAAAAAAACCAAAAAUUGCCUUAAAAUCAACUUAUACGGCAUGUCCUGAAAUAGCGAUCUCAAAUCUUUCUACAUUCUAUUUAUGGGUUUGAGGGGUAUAUUGGUCAUUUCAGAAGAGGAAACUAGUGAGUUUACGCGUAAUGGUGGUGGGAUGAUGAGAGUAGGUUGGUCAAUCAAUUUGUGUGCGACAGCGAUUUGCCGAUUUUUGUUGGCUCGCUUCAUAUGCUUUUGCUUUGCUUACUUACAAGUUACUCCCUGUGCGACUGCCAUCUGGCCUCUCAUCCUUUUCCCGCUCAUCUUCCCAACGAGAUAAAGGAAAGAUAACUCUCAUACUCAUUUUUCCAACUUUUAUAUGAUUUGCAUUUCUCUAAAUUUUGAAAGAAUUAUGUCGUCAUCAUCUAUGGAUCUACCGAGUGGGGUUUUUAACUAUUGAAAAUUCACCUGAGAUUAAGACCAGCAUGGUCUGAUAUUAUAUUUAUGGUUCACUUCGUUUCUAAUUAAUUUUCUAUGUAGUUUAUUCCUCUCUCAAAUCAAGUUGAUACAUCACCCACCAACCUAACUACAACCUAAGACUAUUACUGUGUUGUAUGUAGGUUACUAGAUUGUGGUCAUGAAUAGACAAGCUACCUUACCAUCUAAACUGUCAACGCCCACCUCCUCUGUCCAACGGCCUUAUGAAAAUGCCAAUACGCCACUUCUAUUCUAUAAAAUUUCCAAUAGACUAUUGCUCUACGUUAAGCCCAUAUGGGUUGAUAGGAACGUGAGGGGUGGAGAGAAAUGGAAAGGAUAGAGGAUAAUAAAGGAUGGGUGAAAAAGAAAAUCAAUCCCAAGUUCCCAACCCAUUGUUUAGUUUAACAUAAUGCUACGUUUACUUGGAAAUCAGACUCCCAUUCCCUGCAUUUUUUAUUCUACCCAUGUUAAUUUUGUAUUAUUCCAAAAAUACCCUCAUUUUAGAUAAAAAAAAUAUAAAAAGCGAAAAAUAAAAAAAAUCCCUAAAACCUAAACUCUCUCACCCGUGCCUCCCAAUCAAAUGCCAUCAGAGCUGCUUCCAUCACCAUCGCAGCCAUCACCGUCUUUGACGUCCUGGUUCGUCGGCUGUGGACACCUGCUCGUCGCCGGUUUCGUCUCCGUUGGGCCGUGUCGAUUUUGUCACCGUCUCGAUUUCGCCCCCAUCUCAUUUCGUCUCCGAUUUCGUCUUUAAUGGCGAUGGUUCUGAUAUGAUGCUGCUGCUACUGUUAACGACGAUGAUUGUUGUUGCCAUUGUUGUUGAUGACGAUGACAAUUGAGAUUUUGAUUGUUGCUAUUUUUUUUUUUGGGAAAUGGAUUAUUUUUGUUGAUGAUGAUUAUUUGGGAAAUGGAUUAAUUUGAUGAUGAUGAUUGUUAUUAUUAUUAUUAUUUUGGAAAUGGAUUAUUUUGUUGAUGAUGAUGAAUCCGAUUAUGAUUAUUAUUAUUUUUUGAAAUGGAUUAUUAUUUUGCUGAUGAUGAUAUUUUUUAUUUUGAUUAUUGUUAUUAAUUUUAUU
Molecule: long non-coding RNA, 13821 nt
Filed under: Citrus x clementina
Lineage: Eukaryota; Viridiplantae; Streptophyta; Magnoliopsida; Sapindales; Rutaceae
Description: Citrus clementina (C. clementina) long non-coding RNA (CCLE_LNC003948)
Rfam family: tRNA (bases 6641-6714)
Source: RNAcentral